Molecule: ribosomal RNA, 254 nt
Filed under: uncultured bacterium
Lineage: Bacteria
Description: partial 16S ribosomal RNA
Rfam family: Bacterial small subunit ribosomal RNA
Source: RNAcentral
UACGGGGGGAGCAAGCGUUGUUCGGAUUUACUGGGCGUAAAGGGCGCGUAGGCGGCCAGCGCAAGUCAGUUGUGAAAUCUCCGGGCUUAACUCGGAACGGUCAACUGAUACUGCGCGGCUAGAGUGCAGAAGGGGCAACUGGAAUUCUCGGUGUAGCGGUGAAAUGCGUAGAUAUCGAGAGGAACACCUGCGGCGAAGGCGGGUUGCUGGGCUGACACUGACGCUGAGGAGCGAAAGCGUGGGGAGCAAACAGG